AGAGAGUGCUCGGCGCCUGGGACUUCGACUCAACCUAAGUACUUUCAAGCGUAGGUGAGCAAAGUUUCAGGUGUUCGAGCACCUUCGCAUUUU
RNAcentral lists this microRNA precursor (93 nucleotides) under Loa loa (African eye worm). RNAcentral describes it as "microRNA mir-87". The stretch from base 7 to 82 matches the Rfam family "mir-87 microRNA precursor family". Lineage: Eukaryota; Metazoa; Nematoda; Chromadorea; Rhabditida; Onchocercidae. The record is from RNAcentral.